GAUUAAGUUAUUAAGGGCGCACGGUGGAUGCCUUGGCACUAGAAGCCGAAGAAGGACGUUACUAACGACGAUAUGCUUUGGGGAGCUGUAAGUAAGCGUURAUCCAGAGAUUUCCGAAUGGGGAAACCCAACAUGAGUUAUGUCAUGUUAUCGAUAUGUGAAUACAUAGCAUAUCAGAAGGCAGACCCGGAGAACUGAAACAUCUUAGUACCCGGAGGAAGAGAAAGAAAAAUCGAUUCCCUGAGUAGCGGCGAGCGAAACGGGAAGAGCCCAAACCAACAAGCUUGCUUGUUGGGGUUGUAGGACACUCUAUACGGAGUUACAAAAGUAUAUAUUAGACGAAUCAUCUGGAAAGUUGAAUCAAAGAAGGUAAUAAUCCUGUAGUCGAAAAUAUAUACUCUCUUGAGUGGAUCCUGAGUACGACGGAGCACGUGAAAUUCCGUCGGAAUCUGGGAGGACCAUCUCCUAAGGCUAAAUACUCUCUAGUGACCGAUAGUGAACCAGUACCGUGAGGGAAAGGUGAAAAGUACCCCGGAAGGGGAGUGAAAGAGAACUUGAAACCGUGUGCUUACAAGUAGUCAGAGCCCGUUAAUGGGUGAUGGCGUGCCUUUUGUAGAAUGAACCGGCGAGUUACGAUUUGAUGCAAGGUUAAGCAGUGAAUGUGGAGCCGUAGCGAAAGCGAGUCUGAAUAGGGCGUUGAGUAUUUGGUCGUAGACCCGAAACCAGGUGAUCUACCCUUGGUCAGGUUGAAGUUCAGGUAACACUGAAUGGAGGACCGAACCGACUUACGUUGAAAAGUGAGCGGAUGAACUGAGGGUAGCGGAGAAAUUCCAAUCGAACCUGGAGAUAGCUGGUUCUCUCCGAAAUAGCUUUAGGGCUAGCCUCAAGUGAUGAUUAUUGGAGGUAGAGCACUGUUUGGACGAGGGGCCCUUCUCGGGUUACCGAAUUCAGACAAACUCCGAAUGCCAAUCAAUUUAACUUGGGAGUCAGAACAUGGGUGAUAAGGUCCGUGUUCGAAAGGGAAACAGCCCAGACCACCAGCUAAGGUCCCAAAAUAUAUGUUAAGUGGAAAAGGAUGUGGCGUUGCCCAGACAACUAGGAUGUUGGCUUAGAAGCAGCCAUCAUUUAAAGAGUGCGUAAUAGCUCACUAGUCGAGUGACACUGCGCCGAAAAUGUACCGGGGCUAAACAUAUUACCGAAGCUGUGGAUUGUCCGUAGGACAAUGGUAGGAGAGCGUUCUAAGGGCGUUGAAGCAUGAUCGCAAGGACAUGUGGAGCGCUUAGAAGUGAGAAUGCCGGUGUGAGUAGCGAAAGACGGGUGAGAAUCCCGUCCACCGAUUGACUAAGGUUUCCAGAGGAAGGCUCGUCCGCUCUGGGUUAGUCGGGUCCUAAGCUGAGGCCGACAGGCGUAGGCGAUGGAUAACAGGUUGAUAUUCCUGUACCACCUAGUAUCGUUUUAAUCGAUGGGGGGACGCAGUAGGAUAGGCGAAGCGUGCUAUUGGAUUGCACGUCCAAGCAGUAAGACUGAGUGUUAGGCAAAUCCGGCACUCAUAAGGUCAAGCUGUGAUGGGGAGAGGAAAUUGUUUCCUCGAGUCGUUGAUUUCACACUGCCAAGAAAAGCCUCUAGAUAGAUAACAGGUGCCCGUACCGCAAACCGACACAGGUAGUCAAGAUGAGAAUUCUAAGGUGAGCGAGCGAACUCUCGUUAAGGAACUCGGCAAAAUGACCCCGUAACUUCGGGAGAAGGGGUGCUCUUUAGGGUUAACGCCCAGAAGAGCCGCAGUGAAUAGGCCCAAGCGACUGUUUAUCAAAAACACAGGUCUCUGCUAAACCGUAAGGUGAUGUAUAGGGGCUGACGCCUGCCCGGUGCUGGAAGGUUAAGAGGAGUAGUUAGCUUCUGCGAAGCUACGAAUCGAAGCCCCAGUAAACGGCGGCCGUAACUAUAACGGUCCUAAGGUAGCGAAAUUCCUUGUCGGGUAAGUUCCGACCCGCACGAAAGGCGUAACGAUUUGGGCACUGUCUCAACGAGAGACUCGGUGAAAUCAUAGUACCUGUGAAGAUGCAGGUUACCCGCGACAGGACGGAAAGACCCCGUGGAGCUUUACUGUAGCCUGAUAUUGAAAUUCGGCACAGCUUGUACAGGAUAGGUAGGAGCCUUUGAAACGUGAGCGCUAGCUUACGUGGAGGCAUUGGUGGGAUACUACCCUAGCUGUGUUGGCUUUCUAACCCGCACCACUUAUCGUGGUGGGAGACAGUGUCAGGUGGGCAGUUUGACUGGGGCGGUCGCCUCCUAAAAGGUAACGGAGGCGCUCAAAGGUUCCCUCAGAAUGGUUGGAAAUCAUUCAUAGAGUGUAAAGGCAUAAGGGAGCUUGACUGCGAGACUUACAAGUCGAGCAGGGUCGAAAGACGGACUUAGUGAUCCGGUGGUUCCGCAUGGAAGGGCCAUCGCUCAACGGAUAAAAGCUACCCCGGGGAUAACAGGCUUAUCUCCCCCAAGAGUUCACAUCGACGGGGAG
RNAcentral lists this ribosomal RNA (2515 nucleotides) under Staphylococcus pasteuri. RNAcentral's name for it is "partial 23S ribosomal RNA". It matches the Rfam family "Bacterial large subunit ribosomal RNA", at positions 1 to 2515 of the family's 2925-position model. The record is from RNAcentral. Lineage: Bacteria; Bacillati; Bacillota; Bacilli; Caryophanales; Staphylococcaceae.